Molecule: RNA transcript, 3500 nt
Organism: Zea mays
Lineage: Eukaryota; Viridiplantae; Streptophyta; Magnoliopsida; Poales; Poaceae
Exons: 7
Source: RefSeq, marked validated
ACCACUCUGAUACAGGUCACCAGCGGUGGGCCCCACCACCCAGACGGGUCCUGGUUCCUCCCCCUCCAAGCCGGCUCCCAAAUUUGAGGCCCAAAGCCCCGUCGGCCCCCAUCGCCACGCCGCCGGCCACGCCCCAGACGACCCCGCCCGCCGCCGCCGCCUCCCGCUCCCUCCGCGCGCAGCCCUCGUCCGGCCGCCCGGGUCCGAGCGCGCUCGCUCCUCCUCCCCACGUCGGACAGUUUAAGUGUGGCUUCAUUGCAUGAGUAGUUGCAGUUAGCGUGGCUUUUCUCCGUGCUUGCUCCUGGUCGUGCUUUGCCUUGCAAAGGAAGGAAUCAUGACAUCUGUUGUUCACAGUGUUUCAGGUGACCACAGGGCUGAGGAUCAAAAUCAACAGAAGAAGCAAGCUGAACCUGGGGACCAGCAAGAAGCCCCAGUUACUAGUUCAGAUAGCCAACCAACAGUAGGCACACCAUCAACAGAUUAUGUGGCACCCUAUGCCCCUCAUGACAUGAGCCAUGCAAUGGGUCAAUACGCUUAUCCAAAUAUUGACCCAUACUAUGGAAGCCUUUAUGCAGCAGCUUACGGUGGACAGCCAUUGAUGCAUCCACCGUUAGUUGGAAUGCAUCCGGCUGGCUUACCUUUGCCUACCGAUGCAAUUGAAGAGCCUGUGUAUGUAAAUGCAAAGCAAUACAAUGCCAUAUUAAGACGGCGUCAAUCUCGGGCUAAAGCUGAAUCAGAACGAAAGCUUAUCAAGGGGCGUAAGAUUCGUGAAAGGAAGACAAGGGAUGUCAACCAAGUCAAAUGCAUCAAGGACGAAGCAAACCAACUAUUAGUGAAGAGUGAAGAGAUCAAGAACAGAUGGAAGGAGUACUUCAACAAAUUGUUCAAUGGAGGGAAUGAGAGUGCUACAAUAGAAUUGGACGAACCAUUCGAUGACAACAACAGGGGUUUUGUACGAAGGAUACAAGAAUAUGAAGUUAAGGAGGCGCUAAAAAGGAUGAAGGUAGGAAAGGCGAUGGGCCCUGAUGGUAUCCCUAUCGAGGUAUGGAGAUGUCUUGGAGACAUAGCGAUAGUAUGGCUGACUAAGCUUUUCAACACCAUCUUUCGGGCAAACAGAAUGCCCGACGAGUGGCGGCGGAGUACAUUAGUACCAAUCUUCAAGAACAAAGGAGAUGUUCAAAGUUGUACUAAUUACCGUGGAAUUAAGCUCAUGAGCCAUACAAUGAAGCUAUGGGAGAGAGUCAUUGAACACCGCCUGCGAAAGAUGACGAGCGUGACCCAAAAUCAGUUUGGUUUCAUGCCCGGGAGAUCAACUAUGGAGGCCAUUUUCUUACUAAGACAACUUAUGGAGAGAUUCAGAGAACAAAAGAAAGACCUGCAUAUGGUCUUCAUAGACUUGGAGAAGGCUUAUGACAAAGUACCUAGGAGUGUAAUGUGGUGGGCCUUGGAAAAACACAAAGUAGCAACAAAGUACAUUAAUCUUAUUAAAGAUAUGUACACUAAUGUUGUGACAAGUGUCCGAACAAGUGAUGGAGACACCGAUGACUUUCCAAUUAACAUAGGACUACAUCAAGGGUCGGCUUUGAGCCCUUAUCUUUUCGCUUUGGUGAUAGAUGAGGUCACAAGGGACAUACAAGGAGUUUUACCGUGGUGUAUGCUUUUUGCCGAUGAUGUGGUACUUAUUGAGGAGAGUAGGAGUGGUGUUUCUCAAAAGUUGGAAUUGUGGAGGCAGACGCUGGAAGCAAAAGGUUUUAGGCUUAGUAGGUCUAAAACAGAGUAUAUGAAGUGUGAUUUCAGUGCCAUGGGGUAUGAGGAUGGCGAUGUUAGUCUUGAUGGGCAAGUGGUACCCAAGAAAGACACUUUUCGUUACUUAGGAUCAAUGCUUCAAAAGGAGGGAGACAUCGAUGAGGAUGUCAGUCAUAGAAUUAAAGCCGGAUGGUUGAAGUGGCGACAAGCUGCGGGUGUCUUAUGCGACCACCGGGUGCCACGCAAACUAAAAGACAAAUUCUACAGGACAGCAAUCCGGCCGGCUAUGUUGUAUGGAGCAGAAUGUUGGCCCACUAAAAGACGACAUGUCCAACAACUAAGUGUGGCAGAGAUGCGUAUGUUGCGCUGGAUAUGUGGCCACACAAGGAGAGAUCGAGUCCGGAAUGAUGAUAUACGAGAGAGAGUAGGAGUGGCGCCAAUUGAGGAGAAGCUUAUGCAACAUCGCUUGAGAUGGUUUGGACAUAUCCAACGAAGACCUGAAGAGGCACCAGUGCAUAUCGGAAUAAUUAGGCGUCCCGAAAAUGUGAAGAGAGGUAGAGGUCGACCAACUUUGACGUGGACAGAGGCUGUGAAGAGAGACCUGAAGGAGUGGAAUAUUGACAAAGAGCUCGCCGCAGAUAGGAAGGGGUGGAAGUGUGCAAUUCACGUGCCAGAACCCUGAUUGAUAGUUUCGCUUUUCCUCCUUAAUCGUUUGACCUUUUCUUGUGUCCAUUUUAGAUCUUGCUGGUCCUUGUGGGUUUUAUCUCUUUUAUGUGUUUCCCCGUUUCGUUGUUUUCGGUUCUCCUUUGCCUUUGUUUCCCUUUUCUGUUCUUUGGGGGUUGAGCUCUGAGGUUUUCAUACGGGGUUUCAUCUCUAGCCUACCCCAACGUGCUUGGGACAAAAAGGCUUUGUUGUUGUUGUUGUUGUUGUUGUUCGAUGUUCUCUGAUAUCUGAAAUUUCGACAUGCCACGUUUUUUUUCAAUGCCUUCACGGGCGUUGCUUAUCACAAAAGCAGUAAAGGAUUUAUGAACGUAAAUUGGGUGCCACACAUUGACAAAGUUGCAACAUCGACCCUAUCUCCAUGAGUCACGUCAUCAGCAUGCCUUGAAAAGGGCCAGGGGAGCUGGAGGUCGGUUUCUCAACUCAAAGUCAGAUGACAAGGAAGAGAACUCCGACUCGAGUCACAAAGAGAAUCAGAACGGAGUUGCGCCCCACAGGAGCGGCCAACCGUCAACCCCUCCGUCUCCCAACGGUGCAUCGUCAGCUAAUCAGGGCAGGCAGUCGUGAAUGAUGGAUGAUUCAAAACUCACAGCUGAAGAGAUUUCAGCCCCUGAGCUAGAUAUGGCAGCAGUUUUGUACAGAAAACGCUAGCAACAUGGUGUCGGUCGGUCGGUCGGUUGUUGUAGGACAUGUUCCAUAGAAAAAGCAUAGACGAGUCUACAGGUUUUGGAGCCUUGGUUUGGUCCUCUGUGUAUUCACCUUUCUGUACAAUCUUAGUAGCGUUGUGUACCUUCCCCUGGAAGGAAGGAUAGCUUCAGUUAGCGCUUCAGAAAGUCAAGUGUGUAGCAUAUUGGCUUAUUGUUUGCUUUGCUUGGACAAUGGAGAUUUGGGAGUGGAGUUCAUAACCCUGCUGAAUAAAUACUCUUAGCUGGCUAUGUGUAUGUUGGACGACAAUAUGAUCCCUAAUGUAGUACACGUGACCACCUCAAACUGAAUCUGGCUUUGUUUAAAUGACACCCUCACAAUUGGUCACA